AUGAAAAUAAUUAGCUGGGACUGCCGAGGUUUGGGUCAACCUCGGACAGUCCAAGAACUUGUGUGCCUCUCAAAGACACACCGACCCAACAUUAUCUUCCUUUCUGAAACAAGAAAAAAUAAAGAGUAUGUUGAGAGUUUGCGCUACCACUUGGGUAUGAAAAAUGUGUUUUCUGUUUCUGUUCCAGGCAAAGGUGGUGGUGUAGCGGUUUUCUGGGAUGACCUUUAUACUUUGCAGUUGAAUAAAUAUGGUGAACAUUUUAUUCACAUGUACGUU
Molecule: ribosomal RNA, 276 nt
Filed under: Triticum aestivum (bread wheat)
Lineage: Eukaryota; Viridiplantae; Streptophyta; Magnoliopsida; Poales; Poaceae
Description: partial small subunit ribosomal RNA
Source: RNAcentral